This 620-nucleotide ribosomal RNA is filed under the name uncultured marine eukaryote. RNAcentral describes it as "SSU rRNA". It matches the Rfam family "Eukaryotic small subunit ribosomal RNA", at positions 634 to 1258 of the family's 1831-position model. The record is from RNAcentral.
UUGGAUUUCUGUUGAGGAAGGACGGUCCGCACUAAGUGCGUGUAUCUGUUACUGCCUCGGCAUCCUCUAGGAGAACGGUGCUGUGAUUCACUUCAUGGUCCGGAAUUCUAGACUUUUACUUUGAGGAAAUUAGAGUGUUCACGGCAAGCAAUCGCUUUGAAUACAUUAGCAUGGAAUAAUAAUAUAGGACCUUGGAUCUAUUUUGUUGGUUUCUAGAACUAAGGUAAUGAUUAAUAGGGAUAAUUGGGGGCAUUCGUAUUAACGCGUCAGAGGUGGAAUUCUUGGAUUGCGUUACGACGAACUACUGCGAAAGCAUUUGCCAAGGAUGUUUUCAUUGAUCAAGAACGAAAGUAUGGGGAUCGAAGACGAUUAGAUACCGUCGUAGUCUAUACCAUAAACUAUGCCAACUAGAGAUUGGAGGUCGUAUUUUUUAUGACUCCUUCAGCACCUUAUGAGAAAUCAAAGUCUUUGGGUUCCGGGGGGAGUAUGGUCGCAAGGCUGAAACUUAAAGGAAUUGACGGAAGGGCACCACCAGGAGUGGAGCCUGCGGCUUAAUUUGACUCAACACGGGAAAACUUACCAGGUCCAGACAUAGUAAGGAUUGACAGAUUGAUAGCUCU